RNAcentral lists this ribosomal RNA (253 nucleotides) under uncultured microorganism. RNAcentral describes it as "partial 16S ribosomal RNA". It matches the Rfam family "Bacterial small subunit ribosomal RNA", at positions 524 to 776 of the family's 1533-position model. The record is from RNAcentral.
UACGGAGGGUGCGAGCGUUAAUCGGAAUUACUGGGCGUAAAGCGUGCGCAGGCGGUUUGUUAAGCCAGAUGUGAAAGCCCCGGGCUCAACCUGGGAACCGCAUUUCGAACUGGCAAACUAGAGUCUUGUAGAGGGGGGUAGAAUUCCAGGUGUAGCGGUGAAAUGCGUAGAGAUCUGGAGGAAUACCGGUGGCGAAGGCGGCCCCCUGGACAAAGACUGACGCUCAGGCACGAAAGCGUGGGGAGCAAACAGG